ACUGCUCAGUAACACGUGGCUAAUCUGCCCUUAGGACGAGAACAACCCCGGGAAACUGGGGCUAACUCUCGAUAGGCGAAGAACUCUGGAAUGAGUCUUUACCUAAAAAGCUUCACGUUAUCCUCGUGAAGUCGCCUAAGGAUGAGGCCGCGACCGAUCAGGUUGUUGGCGAGGUAAUGGCUCACCAAGCCUUUUACCGGUGCGGGCCGUGAGAGCGGGAGCCCGGAGAUGGGCACUGAGACAAGGGCCCAGGCCCUACGGGGCGCAGCAGUCGCGAAAACUUUGCAAUAAGCGAAAGCUUGACAGGGCUAUCCCGAGUGCCAUCCGCUGAGGAAGGCUUUUACCCAGUCUAGAACGCUGGGGGAAUAAGGAGAGGGCAAGUCUGGUGUCAGCCGCCGCGGUAAUACCAGCUCUCCGAGUGGUGUGGAUGUUUAUUGGGCCUAAAGCAUCCGUAGCUGGCUAGGUCAGUCCCUUGUUAAAUCCACCGAAUUAAUCGUUGGAUUGCGGGGGAUACUGCUUGGCUAGGGGACGAGAGAGGCAGACGGUAUUUUCGGGGUAGGGGUGAAAUCCUAUAAUCCCGGGAAGACCACCAGUGGCGAAGGCUGUCUGCUAGAACGCGCCCGACGGUGAGGGAUGAAAGCUGGGGGAGCGAACCGGAUUAGAUACCCGGGUAGUCCCAGCUGUAAACGAUGCAGACUAGGUGUUUGGACGGCCACGUGCCGUUCUAGUGCCGCAGGGAAGCUGUUAGGUCUGCCGCCUGGGGAGUACGAUCGCAAGAUUGAAACUUAAAGGAAUUGGCGGGGGAGCAC
RNAcentral lists this ribosomal RNA (809 nucleotides) under uncultured archaeon. Its description in RNAcentral is "bacterial SSU rRNA". It matches the Rfam family "Archaeal small subunit ribosomal RNA", at positions 85 to 879 of the family's 1478-position model. The record is from RNAcentral.